This 647-nucleotide ribosomal RNA is filed under the name Salmonella enterica subsp. enterica serovar Ituri. RNAcentral's name for it is "partial 23S ribosomal RNA". It matches the Rfam family "Bacterial large subunit ribosomal RNA", at positions 1 to 681 of the family's 2925-position model. The record is from RNAcentral. Lineage: Bacteria; Pseudomonadati; Pseudomonadota; Gammaproteobacteria; Enterobacterales; Enterobacteriaceae.
GGGUUGUGAGGUUAAGCGACUAAGCGUACACGGUGGAUGCCCUGGCAGUCAGAGGCGAUGAAGGACGUGCUAAUCUGCGAUAAGCGUCGGUAAGGUGAUAUGAACCGUUAUAACCGGCGAUUUCCGAAUGGGGAAACCCAGUGUGUUUCGACACACUAUCAUUACGUGAAUACAUAGCGUAAUGAAGCGAACCGGGGGAACUGAAACAUCUAAGUACCCCGAGGAAAAGAAAUCAACCGAGAUUCCCCCAGUAGCGGCGAGCGAACGGGGAGCAGCCCAGAGUCUGAAUCAGCAUGUGUGUUAGUGGAAGCGUCUGGAAAGUCGCACGAUACAGGGUGAAAGUCCCGUACACAAAAGUGCAUGUGUUGUGAACUCGAAGAGUAGGGCGGGACACGUGGUAUCCUGUCUGAAUAUGGGGGGACCAUCCUCCAAGGCUAAAUACUCCUGACUGACCGAUAGUGAACCAGUACCGUGAGGGAAAGGCGAAAAGAACCCCGGCGAGGGGAGUGAAAAAGAACCUGAAACCGUGUACGUACAAGCAGUGGGAGCACCCUUCGGGGUGUGACUGCGUACCUUUUGUAUAAUGGGUCAGCGACUUAUAUUCUGUAGCAAGGUUAACCGAAUAGGGGAGCCGAAGGGAAACCGAG